This 429-nucleotide ribosomal RNA is filed under the name Gemmatimonadota bacterium. Its description in RNAcentral is "Gemmatimonadetes bacterium partial 16S ribosomal RNA". It matches the Rfam family "Bacterial small subunit ribosomal RNA", at positions 355 to 776 of the family's 1533-position model. The record is from RNAcentral. Lineage: Bacteria; Pseudomonadati; Gemmatimonadota.
UAGGGAAUCUUCGGCAAUGGACGAAAGUCUGACCGAGCAACGCCGCGUGAGUGAAGAAGGUUUUCGGAUCGUAAAACUCUGUUGUUAGAGAAGAACAAGGACGUUAGUAACUGAACGUCCCCUGACGGUAUCUAACCAGAAAGCCACGGCUAACUACGUGCCAGCAGCCGCGGUAAUACGUAGGUGGCAAGCGUUGUCCGGAUUUAUUGGGCGUAAAGCGAGCGCAGGCGGUUUCUUAAGUCUGAUGUGAAAGCCCCCGGCUCAACCAGGGAGGGUAAUUGGAAACUGGGAGACUGGAGUGCAGAAGAGGAGAGUGGAAUUCCAUGUGUAGCGGUGAAAUGCGUAGAUAUAUGGAGGAACACCAGUGGCGAAGGCGGCUCUCUGGUCUGUAACUGACGCUGAGGCUCGAAAGCGUGGGGAGCAAACAGG